GGCCGUGUGGCUCAAUGGCAGAGCGUCUGACUACGAUCCGAACCACCUCAGGGUGGUAUUGGAAAAGCGCAAUCAGAAGGUCGCAGGUUCGACCCCUGUCUCGGUCA
Claviceps africana is the source of this 107-nucleotide non-coding RNA. The record is from the annotation of a GenBank genome assembly. Lineage: Eukaryota; Fungi; Ascomycota; Sordariomycetes; Hypocreales; Clavicipitaceae.